Molecule: ribosomal RNA, 243 nt
Filed under: uncultured bacterium
Lineage: Bacteria
Description: partial 16S ribosomal RNA
Rfam family: Bacterial small subunit ribosomal RNA
Source: RNAcentral
UACGUAGGGUGCAAGCGUUAAUCGGAAUUACUGGGCGUAAAGCGUGCGCAGGCGGCUAUGCAAGACAGAUGUGAAAUCCCCGGGCUCAACCUGGGAACUGCAUUUGUGACUGCAUGGCUAGAGUACGGUAGAGGGGGAUGGAAUUCCGCGUGUAGCAGUGGAAAUGCGUAGAUAUGCGGAGGAACACCGAUGGCGAAGGCAAUCCCCUGGACCUGUACUGACGCUCAUGCACGAAAGCGUGGG